CCUAACACAUGCAAGUCGAACGGUAACAGGAAGAAGCUUGCUUCUUUGCUGACGAGUGGCGGACGGGUGAGUAAUGUCUGGGAAACUGCCUGAUGGAGGGGGAUAACUACUGGAAACGGUAGCUAAUACCGCAUAACGUCGCAAAACCAAAGAGGGGGACCUUCGGGCCUCUUGCCAUCGGAUGUGCCCAGAUGGGAUUAGCUAGUAGGUGGGGUAACGGCUCACCUAGGCGACGAUCCCUAGCUGGUCUGAGAGGAUGACCAGCCACACUGGAACUGAGACACGGUCCAGACUCCUACGGGAGGCAGCAGUGGGGAAUAUUGCACAAUGGGCGCAAGCCUGAUGCAGCCAUGCCGCGUGUAUGAAGAAGGCCUUCGGGUUGUAA
This 385-nucleotide ribosomal RNA is filed under the name uncultured bacterium. RNAcentral describes it as "bacterial SSU rRNA". It matches the Rfam family "Bacterial small subunit ribosomal RNA", at positions 47 to 428 of the family's 1533-position model. The record is from RNAcentral.